Molecule: long non-coding RNA, 536 nt
Organism: Scophthalmus maximus (turbot)
Lineage: Eukaryota; Metazoa; Chordata; Actinopteri; Pleuronectiformes; Scophthalmidae
Exons: 4
Source: RefSeq, a predicted model, not a curated record
UUUCUGCACAUAGUAACCUGGUUUACGGUUAAGGAAAGAUUGUACCUAUGGAAAAUAAAAUAGGGUAAGGCAAAGAAAUAACAGACUGUAUGAACAUCCGACCAGCACCAUGACCUUGACAACCUUUCUUCUGACCUUGCAGAUUUAGGUCAAAGAUCCUUCCCCGUGAGCACUGAACCUUGGCAAUGGACAUAAUUCAUAAGGUGCAGAAUCUGUCUGAUACUAAAAUAAUUCCUAAGGAAACUGGGUUGAGCUGAUGGAAACCGCAGAGGCGACAACUUAAUCCUCGUAAGACAGAAGCUGUGUUUUUCCUGCUGCCAACGCCCUUGGACAUGCCUGGUAAAUAGCCAUGGUGAAUCUAUGCUUCUUACUGUAACGCCUUGGCCUGUUACUCCAGAGGAACAUAGACACUGAGCUACCCGACGCUCCCGUCACUGCGUCACAGCCGUCUGCUGGCGAUCCUGCAGCUCUAUGUGUCCCCCCACAGUCUGAGGACAACGCUGCCGCUGCCGCUGCCAAUACUCCGCGUCCUGCCC